Non-coding RNA from Myotis brandtii (Brandt's bat), 107 nucleotides. The record is from Rfam. NCBI's taxonomy places the organism in Eukaryota, Metazoa, Chordata, Mammalia, Chiroptera, Vespertilionidae.
AUGCUCACUUCGGUAGCACAUAUACUAAAAUGGAAACAGUACAGAGAAGAUUAGCAUGGCCCCUGUGCAAGGAUGACAUGCAAAUUUGUGACACGUUCCAUAUUUUC